Molecule: RNA transcript, 4434 nt
Organism: Amphibalanus amphitrite
Lineage: Eukaryota; Metazoa; Arthropoda; Thecostraca; Balanomorpha; Balanidae
Gene name: CTD small phosphatase-like protein 2
Exons: 8
Source: RefSeq, a predicted model, not a curated record
CGGCCGACACCGCUCGCAGCGCCAUCUACAACGCCGCGCCGGACGAGUCCACACCGGCGGCCGGCGGGGGAGGUCGCUCGGCGGCCGUGAGAAUCAAUACGGAACGCGCGGCGGCGGCGCCAAACAAUUGUGGCGCCAGCCGCGCGUGGGCAGGUCGGACGUGCGCGCGUUCAACCUACGUGUGAAUGCCCCGAAGAUAGCCGCCAAUCAAGAGAGAAAACUUUCCGAGGACUUCCCCUGCGAGAGAGAACAGUCGAUGUCGGCACGAUGAGGACCCGGCAGAGUAACCGGCCACGGGCGAGCAAGUCACGCAGCUCGCCGUCAGUGGCAGUGGCUGCUCGCUGGCGGGGCCGGGCGCGCCGCUCGGCAGCCUGGGUGCCAUCCCGACCCCGCGCUAGUCGCUCGCCGCUGCCACCUGCGAGCUCGAGCCGCCACAGCCGCCGGCCGCUGCUGCGCACCUGUAAUGAGAACGAGGACCCGUCAUCGACCAGCGACUACACGGCGCUGAAGCAGCCCCCGGCGGAGGCGGGGGCGGCUGAUAGCCGGCUGAUCUGCUCGGCCGCUCCACGGCGCCAGCCUCUGCAGCAGGUGGCUCCUGACCAGCACAACAGCCGAGCCCCGCCGCCGGCGCAGCCGCAGGUCACCUCAGCCGCCGGUGACGUCGGCUGUGUGUCGGCUCCCACCGAGUACCGCUCCCGUGAACCUGAAGAGGACGAAGCAGAGGAAGAUGAAGAAGAGGAUGAAGAGGAGGAGGAAGAGGAAGAUGAUGGAGAGGAGGAGACGGACUACUAUACCGACAGCAUGUUCGAGGCCUACUACUUCAUCAAACACCUGCCGCCGCUGACGCCCGAGAUGCGGGCCCGCCACCCGGCGCUGCCGCUGAAGACGCGCAGCAGUCCACACUUCACACUGGUCCUGGACCUGGACGAGACGCUGGUCCACUGCAGUCUGCAGAGGAUGGCCGACGCCUCGUUCACGUUCCCGGUACUCUUCCAAGGCGUCUCCUACGAGGUGUUUGUGCGCACGCGGCCCUUCAUACACGAGUUCCUAGACCGGGUCUCGGACCUGUUCGAAGUCAUCCUGUUCACCGCCUCCAAGAAGGUGUACGCCGACAAACUGGUCAACCUGCUGGACCCCGAGAGGAAGCUCAUUAAGUACGUAAAUACGGAUCGUGGGGCGUGGGUGCUCACAGUAGCGUUUCUUCGAUUUCAUCACUCCCAUUGCUGGUUUGGAUCUCUUAGUUUAUUUAGCUGGGCCAUACGGUCCGAUUUCCGUCUUGCGUAAUGCCAAUUAUCCUAAUAAACAGGGAUGCGGAGCCGUGGAAAUUUCAGACGGCUCCGACUCCGGCUCCGGCUCCGGAGAAAAAAAUCGGCUCCGGCUCCGGCUCCGGCUCCGGGUGAAAUGUCAUGGCGGCUCCGGCUCCGGCUCCGGCUCCGAGUAAAAUGAUCCGGCUCCGGCGGCUCCGGCUCCGGCGGCUCCGGCUCCGGCUUCUACCAAGUAGGGUAGUGUGGGGUAAUUUGAGCAUAUUUUUACGUCUUCUCCCUUGUACCAACUUCCAGCUCAACCCUGGAUGAAGAAAAACUGUUUCAGUAGCGCAUGUGUCACUUGCUUUUACCAUGCAAGCCUCAUUUUUGGACGAGCCGAGCAUACCUUGAAUAGCAUAGCAUCACUUCUCCACCAAGUCACGGUGUGUUCAAAUUGCCCCACCGUGGGGUAAUUUGAACAUACUGCCUUUACCUGCCAUAAAAACGAUAGUCUCGCCAGCACCGAUGCAUUGUUUGACCCAUAAACGAAUAGGUAGAGCAAUUCUAAACAUACCUUCAUUUGAAAAUCAACACAGCAACAAAAAUAACAGUUGCAGAGUAUCGAUAUCUGCACGCUGCACACAGGUCAGUUGAAAGAAUUCGCCUCUCUUCAAUUAACAGGACGUCUAUCAUCUCCGUUCGAUAAAAACUCUACCAAACCUUACUUCAUCUGUUAUAGUGGUGCCAAUCGGAACCUGGACAUUCGGAGUUCCGAUUCUUUAUUAUGUCCAAUUCGGAAUUGAUUGCACAAAGGUAGGUAUAGUAGUCUGGACAACAUUGGACGAUGGCCUGCCACACUUGAGCAUUUUUAUCAAGUAAUCGUGCGUAGCAUUGCUUGGCGAAUGGAAAGCUUGUUAAGCUCUCAAUGUAAUGAACACUUUUCGGCUGGUAAAAUUACGUGAUAAGCAAUAUAAAUGACGGUUUUGAGUGUUGAUAGCUGCAUAAUUUUCGGACAUAUUUGGACAAAUAGUUGACUUUAACAUUUUUGGACGGAAAAUCAACGAAAAUGCCGGGCAUUAGACGGAAAUUAGACGUAAAUUUUCGAAAACUGGCAUCACUUAUCUGCUACUGCUUUGGGUCGAAAAUAUUGGCAAAAAAAAAAACUGGGAGAGCUGUUUUUUCGGAGCUAUCCCUGUUUUCAUUGAAAUUCUCACACUAUGUUCAAAUUACCCCACACAAAAAGUUAUUUUGCCAUUUUCAAAAACAGGGUUCAAAAGCAAAUUUCUUGGAUUGAAGACACUGAUUAGGUCAUUGUACAACAAAAGCUGUUACGUAUUAGGCACUAGCAAUGCAAGAUUUUGCGCUACAAUGAAGUUGCAAUGACGUGUUGUUAGGCGUUUAUCCUUGCGAAAUUAUUUUUUACACUGUGCGUCAACAUCUUCAUUCCCUGAAACUUUAAACCCCGUUCAUAUGAUGGCCCUUUUAGUUACGAUAAUUUCUCUCAUUGGUCUUAUUGUCAUGCCACUUAUGGAUUUUCCGUAAUUUUGUGUUAUUCACACUAUGUUCAAAUUGCCCCACAUGUUCAAAUUACCUCACCCUACCCUACAUCCCCUAUGCGAUCAAUUAAAUACGGGUGGAAUACCACAUUUUGAAUACCACAUUGUUUUACGCCUUGAAGGUGGUGGCAGCAUUGCUUUGAAUGCGAGGCGAGGUGUAACCGUGUAUGCGAACACUGAAGGUAGAGAACACUGACCAGGACCUCGACGGUCCCUACUGUCAAACCGAACUAGGUAAAUAAUUGUUUCCUCUAAAGAAAAGGAGCCGGAGUCGCCCCCUUUUUUGACGGCUCCGGCUCCGGCUCCGGCUCCGGGCUACAUUGUUUCACGGCUCCGGCUCCGGCUCCGGCUCCGGGCAAAAUAUGCCGGCUCCGGCGGCUCCGGCUCCGGCUCCGGCUCCGGCUCCGCAUCCCUGCUAAUAAAUAAAGUACCGUCUGUUCCGCGACCACUGCGUCUGCGUGAACGGCACCUACGUCAAGGACCUCAACAUCCUGGGUCGCGACCUCUCCCGCACCAUCAUCAUCGACAACUCGCCAGAGGCCUUCGGCUAUCAGUAUGAGAACGGCAUCCCCAUUGAGAGCUGGUACACCGACAAGGAGGACUCUGAGCUGCUGAAACUGAUACCGUUCCUAGAAAACCUGCACACCUUGAACGAGGACGUGCGACCUCACAUCCGCGAGAAGUUCCAGCCGCACACAUACAUGCCGCCCGACUAACACCUUGGAGCCGCCCAGGGUUGAUCCCGGAGUCACCCGGACCGAUCCCGGAGUCCCGGACUCCGGAGUCGCUGUGGGAUCGUGAGCUCGCCCGGUCUACUUAUAGUGGCCGCUACUGCGCCGCGAGUGAUCUUCACGGCGCGUCUCUAGGUGGUGCCCGCAUCGAUAGUGACGAGUGAUGGACGACGCGCGAGGCCCAGCUACGACGGUGCUACUGCUGAACUUUGCUGAACCAGUUCUGUUGUGCCAUUUUCUGAGACCAUAAUGCGAACACCAAUUAGGCUUUUGCGAGUGGUGCCUCGACAUCUCAGGAGACAGCGCGGUUGGUGUCGUCGCUUUUUGGUGUUUCGUGGAAGAAGGCAUGCAUCGUCAUUGUUCGCAAUUCUGCGUGAUGAGAGUCGCAAGUCGCAACCCAUCGGGAGAGGUGGUGGGCGGGACGGCUUUUGGUUUGAGACUGUGUUCGACGUCAAUUUACAUAUGCACCGUGAGGAUAAUCGAGAAUUUGGCCUGCAGAUAUAAUCACAUAGCUUCUUCUUGCUACCGGUAAGCGGCUUACUAUCCUGUCCUAUACGGACGCAAUUUCACCGUCUGGCGUUCAGGCAUUCAUAUGUGCAUACUUCAGGCUCCAGAACCGCGUUGUUGUGAACUGUUUCGCUGCCAUGCACGAGGUACAAGCGCAUGUUUCCUCGCGUGCUGUCUGACUGGGCCACAAAUCGGGUCACUUGCUGCCGUGGGAUGUCUGUUCUUCGCGUGACGUGGUUUAGAAACAUUGUUUUACGCAUCGACCGUGUGAAAUCCCUAUAAUGAAUUACAGCUACGGCGUAUUUUGAGAUUAUUUCAGAGUGGUCGUUGCACAGUUGCAUGCUGUAUUGCAAUGAGCGCAUAGUAUUUUAGCUAAUAAACGGCAUCAAUACCCAC